This 440-nucleotide ribosomal RNA is filed under the name uncultured bacterium. RNAcentral describes it as "partial 16S ribosomal RNA". It matches the Rfam family "Bacterial small subunit ribosomal RNA", at positions 338 to 795 of the family's 1533-position model. The record is from RNAcentral.
CCUACGGGAGGCAGCAGUGGGGGAUAUUGCACAAUGGGGGAAACCCUGAUGCAGCGACGCCGCGUGAGUGAAGAAGUAUUUAGGUAUGUAAAGCUCUAUCAGCAGGGAAGAAAAUGACAGUACCUGACCAAGUAGCCACGGCUAACUACGAGCCAGCAGCGGCGGCAAUACGUAGGGGGCAAGCGUUAUCCGGAUUUACUGGGUUUAAAGGGGGCGUAGUAGGUUUUGUAAGUCCGGAGUGAAAGCCCGGGGCCCAACCGCGGGAGUGCAUUUGAAACUGUGUAACUGGAGUACAGGAGGGGCAGGCGGAAUUCGUGGUGUAGCGGUGAAAUGCGUAGAUAUCAGGAAGAACCCCGGCGGCGAAGGCAGCCUGCUGGACUGAAACUGACGUUGAGGCUCGAAAGCGUGGGGAGCAAACAGGAUUAGAUACCCUAGUAGUC